CCCUUAGAUGUCCUGGGCUGCACGCGCGUUACACUGAUGUGUCCAGUAAGCACCUAACCUAUUCCGAGAGGAGCGGGUAACCUUAGCAAAGCACAUCGUGAUGGGGAUAGAUUAUUGCAAUUAUUAGUCUUGAACGAGGAAUUCCUAGUAAGCACAAGUCAUCAGCUUGUGUUGAUUACGUCCCUGCCCUUUGUACACACCGCCCGUCGCUCCUACCGAUUGAAUGUUCCGGUGAGCUCUUCGGACUGCGCGGUCUGCAGUUUCUGCGUUCCGUGCGGAAAGUUGUGCAAACCUUAACAUUUAGAGGAAGGAGAAGUCGUAACA
This 324-nucleotide ribosomal RNA is filed under the name uncultured eukaryote. RNAcentral describes it as "partial 18S ribosomal RNA". It matches the Rfam family "Eukaryotic small subunit ribosomal RNA", at positions 1470 to 1796 of the family's 1831-position model. The record is from RNAcentral.